RNAcentral lists this ribosomal RNA (725 nucleotides) under Gymnodinium sp. G02HAWNZ. RNAcentral describes it as "LSU rRNA". It matches the Rfam family "Eukaryotic large subunit ribosomal RNA", at positions 43 to 651 of the family's 3401-position model. Lineage: Eukaryota; Dinophyceae; Gymnodiniales; Gymnodiniaceae. The record is from RNAcentral.
UAAGUAAGCGGAGGAUAAGAAACUAAAUAGGAUUCCCUCAGUAAUGGCGAAUGAACAGGGAUAAGCUCAGCAUGGAAAUUGGGGCCUCUGGCCUUGAAUUGUAGUCUUGAGAUGUGCUGCCAACGGAGGCGCAGAUGUAAGCCUCUUGGAAAAGAGCAUCAGGGAGGGUGAGAGUCCCGUGUGUCAUCUGCAGUUCUCCGUGCACGGUGCAUUUUCUAAGAGUCACGUUCCUCGGGAUUGGAGCGCAAAUUGGGUGGUAAAUUUCAUCUAAAGCUAAAUAUUGGUUCGAGACCGAUAGCAAACAAGUACCAUGAGGGAAAGGUGAAAAGGACUUUGAAAAGAGAGUUAAAAGUGCCUGAAAUUGCUGAAAGGGAAGCGAAUGGAACCAGUUGUUCUUGGCGAGUAUUGGUGUUGUCUAAGGUGAUGGCUUGCCACUUCAACGCAAGUGUGGUGGCAUGUUUUGAACUGGAUGCGAUACUGCUUCUCGCCUUGCGUGUCAACGUCAGUUCAUAAUUGAGGAAAACUCUAGGGACAUGGUAAUUUGCUUCCGGGUGACUGAAUGUGCCUAGUUGAACUCAUUUUUGAACUGCUCCCUCUAUGUCUGGUAGCAGUGCUCUGCGUGUUCAUCAGCACCAUCAUGCUGGCUCUGCCUGGCAUGAGGGUUGCUGGUGCCCAGAGCAUGUCCUUGACAUAAGUACGAUGACGAAAUGGUUUUAUUCGACCCG